GACGAACGCUGGCGGCGUGCUUAACACAUGCAAGUCGAACGGAAAGGCCCUGCUUUUGUGGGGUGCUCGAGUGGCGAACGGGUGAGUAACACGUGAGUAACCUGCCCUUGACUUUGGGAUAACUUCAGGAAACUGGGGCUAAUACCGGAUAGGAGCUCCUGCUGCAUGGUGGGGGUUGGAAAGUUUCGGCGGUUGGGGAUGGACUCGCGGCUUAUCAGCUUGUUGGUGGGGUAGUGGCUUACCAAGGCUUUGACGGGUAGCCGGCCUGAGAGGGUGACCGGCCACAUUGGGACUGAGAUACGGCCCAGACUCCUACGGGAGGCAGAAGUGGGGAAUAUUGCAGAAUGGGCGGAAGCCUGAUGCAGCAACGCCGCGUGCGGGAUGACGGCCUUCGGGUUGUAAACCGCUUUCGCCUGUGACGAAGCGUGAGUGACGGUAAUGGGUAAAGAAGCACCGGCUAACUACGU
Molecule: ribosomal RNA, 467 nt
Filed under: uncultured bacterium
Lineage: Bacteria
Description: partial 16S ribosomal RNA
Rfam family: Bacterial small subunit ribosomal RNA
Source: RNAcentral